UGGGAACAUACCUUUUGGUUCGGAACAACACAGGGAAACUUGUGCUAAUACCGGACAAGCCCUUACGGGGAAAGAUUUAUCGCCGAAAGAUUGGCCCGCGUCUGAUUAGCUAGUUGGUGAGGUAACGGCUCACCAAGGCGACGACGGGUAGCUGGU
Molecule: ribosomal RNA, 156 nt
Filed under: uncultured bacterium
Lineage: Bacteria
Description: partial 16S ribosomal RNA
Rfam family: Bacterial small subunit ribosomal RNA
Source: RNAcentral